UGUGAACAGGUGAACACAUCCCUUUAUUUCAAAACAGAGCCUUGAGGAAGAUUUGUGUAAAUGAGGCUGACGGAAUCUUAACUCCAUGCACAUCUACUCUGCAACCAGGAAAGAGAGCUAUUUGGAACAGAAUUCAUGGCUGCCCAGAACAAAAAUAUAGGCUUUAUUUAUAAGGUAGAAAAGACAACUGAGAAACAACUAAUGGUAUGUGUUGUAUCCUGUGCACUGUUCUCAGAAAUGUGGUGAAGUCCUUACUCACCAGUGGCUCAAACAAACCCCACUGCCACUUGCUCUGCC
Long non-coding RNA from Ochotona princeps (American pika), 297 nucleotides. RefSeq lists it as uncharacterized. The transcript has 3 exons. NCBI's taxonomy places the organism in Eukaryota, Metazoa, Chordata, Mammalia, Lagomorpha, Ochotonidae. The record is from RefSeq and is a predicted model, not a curated record.